This 497-nucleotide ribosomal RNA is filed under the name uncultured bacterium. Its description in RNAcentral is "partial 16S ribosomal RNA". It matches the Rfam family "Bacterial small subunit ribosomal RNA", at positions 28 to 507 of the family's 1533-position model. The record is from RNAcentral.
GACGAACGCUGGCGGCGUGCCUAAUACAUGCCAGUUGAGCGCUGAAGGUUGGUACUUGUACCAACUGGAUGAGCAGCGAACGGGUGAGUAACGCGUGGGGAAUCUGCCUUUGAGCGGGGGACAACAUUUGGAAACGAAUGCUAAUACCGCAUAAAAACUUUAAACACAAGUUUUAAGUUUGAAAGAUGCAAUUGCAUCACUCAAAGAUGAUCCCGCGUUGUAUUAGCUAGUUGGUGAGGUAAAGGCUCACCAAGGCGAUGAUACAUAGCCGACCUGAGAGGGUGAUCGGCCACAUUGGGACUGAGACACGGCCCAAACUCCUACGGGAGGCAGCAGUAGGGAAUCUUCGGCGAUGGACGAAAGUCUGACCGAGCAACGCCGCGUGAGUGAAGAAGGUUUUCGGAUCGUAAAACUCUGUUGGUAGAGAAGAACGUUGGUGAGAGUGGAAAGCUCAUCAAGUGACGGUAACUACCCAGAAAGGGACGGCUAACUACGUG